GCCAGACUGAUAUCUUUAGCAGAAGAUA
Molecule: non-coding RNA, 28 nt
Filed under: Cricetulus griseus (Chinese hamster)
Lineage: Eukaryota; Metazoa; Chordata; Mammalia; Rodentia; Cricetidae
Source: RNAcentral